This 65-nucleotide transfer RNA is filed under the name Schistocephalus solidus. RNAcentral describes it as "tRNA-Tyr". The record is from RNAcentral. Lineage: Eukaryota; Metazoa; Platyhelminthes; Cestoda; Diphyllobothriidea; Diphyllobothriidae.
UCUGGUUUAGCAUAUAUAAACUUCAACAGUAUAAGUAACUUUAAGGCUUGAAGAGCCAGUCAGGU